GAGGGUAGGUCCCUCGGGAUCGGGUUGCAGGACCAGAUUCCAAAUCACCCGAAGCGGCUUGGAUUAAGAGUCCUGGUCGUGAGCGUUCGGGAAAAGGCCGGUCUGAACCGGUCAGA
Molecule: non-coding RNA, 116 nt
Organism: Singulisphaera acidiphila DSM 18658
Lineage: Bacteria; Pseudomonadati; Planctomycetota; Planctomycetia; Isosphaerales; Isosphaeraceae
Source: Rfam